AGCCUAUUGAUAAACUUAUAAUAGGUAUAUAUCCUGCCCAGUGAAUUUUCAACGGCCGCGGUAUCCUGACCGUGCAAAGGUAGCAUAAUCAUUUGCCUCCUAAUUAGAGGCUAGUAUGAAUGGAAAAACGAAAGCCUAACUGUCUCCUUUAUAAUAAUAUAAAUUAACCUUCAGGUGAAGAGGCCUGAAUUUAUUUAAAAGACAAGAAGACCCUGUCGAGCUUAAUUCUAUAAAAUAAAAAUUUUAAUUUAAAAUCUUACAAGAAUUUUGUUGGGGCGACAAAGGAACAAAUAUAACUUCCUUAUCUAAUAAAGAUUAUUUAUCAACCUAUAGACCCAUUUCAUGAUCUUUAAUUUUAGCUACCGCAGGGAUAACAGUCUUAUUUCCCCCAAGAGCCCACAUCUACGGGGAAGUUUAGCACCUCGAUGUUGGCUUAGGAAUUCUAUUAAAUGUAGCCGUUUAAAUAGAAGGUUUGUUCAACCUUUAAAAU
Molecule: ribosomal RNA, 490 nt
Filed under: Onuphis shirikishinaiensis
Lineage: Eukaryota; Metazoa; Annelida; Polychaeta; Eunicida; Onuphidae
Description: partial 16S ribosomal RNA
Rfam family: Bacterial large subunit ribosomal RNA
Source: RNAcentral